Molecule: long non-coding RNA, 252 nt
Organism: Sinocyclocheilus anshuiensis
Lineage: Eukaryota; Metazoa; Chordata; Actinopteri; Cypriniformes; Cyprinidae
Exons: 3
Source: RefSeq, a predicted model, not a curated record
GUCUUUGACCUGGUCAACGGUGGACCUCAUUUAGGUCUUCGCUUGUUCCAAAAGUUCGAUAACUUCCGAAUCCUGGUGUGCGGUGGAGAUGGAAGCGUCGGUUGGGUCCUGUCUGAAAUCGAUAAACUAAAUCUUCACAAACAGUGCCAGCUGGGCGUUCUGCCGCUGGGCACCGGGAAUGACCUGGCGCGGGUGCUCGGCUGGGGGCCGUCGUGUGACGAUGACACUCAACUCCCUCAGAUACUGGAGAAG